Molecule: ribosomal RNA, 407 nt
Filed under: uncultured bacterium
Lineage: Bacteria
Description: partial 16S ribosomal RNA
Rfam family: Bacterial small subunit ribosomal RNA
Source: RNAcentral
GACGAACGCUGGCGGCGUGCCUAAUACAUGCAAGUAGAACGCAGUUGCGCACGGGUGUGUAACGCGUAGGUAACUGCCUCAUAGCGGGGGAUAACUAUUGGGAACGAUAGCUAUUACCGCAUACUGUGAGAUGGACCUGCGUGGUAUUAGCUAGUUGGUGGGGUAAGGGCUCACCAAGGCGACGAUACAUAGCCGGGCUGAGAGGGGGGUGGGCCACACUGGGACUGCGACACGGCACAGACGCCUACGGGAGGCAGCAGUAGGGACUCUUCGGCAAUGGACGUAAGGCUGACCGGGCAACGCCGCGGUAGUGACGAGGGUGUUCGGAUCGUAAAGCUCUGUUAUUAGAGACGCGGUAACUAACCAAAAAGGGACGGCUAACUACGUGCCAGCAGCCGCGGUAAUUC